UAGGGGUAUAGUAUAACGGUAGAAUGCGUGGUUUGGGGCCAUGUGGUGUGGGUUCGAUUCCCGCUACCCCUAU
Molecule: transfer RNA, 73 nt
Filed under: compost metagenome
Description: tRNA-Pro
Rfam family: tRNA
About the family: Transfer RNA (tRNA) molecules are approximately 80 nucleotides in length. Their secondary structure includes four short double-helical elements and three loops (D, anti-codon, and T loops). Further hydrogen bonds mediate the characteristic L-shaped molecular structure. tRNAs have two regions of fundamental functional importance: the anti-codon, which is responsible for specific mRNA codon recognition, and the 3' end, to which the tRNAs corresponding amino acid is attached (by aminoacyl-tRNA synthetases). tRNAs cope with the degeneracy of the genetic code in two manners: having more than one tRNA (with a specific anti-codon) for a particular amino acid; and 'wobble' base-pairing, i.e. permitting non-standard base-pairing at the 3rd anti-codon position.
Source: RNAcentral